CGGAUGAUUUCGUCACUAUUGAUUGUGUGAUAAUGAAAACAAGGUAUGAAUCGGGUCUACUUGUUGAUCCGGGACAGGUAUGAUUUUAGCACCGGAGGAUGAUCAAGCACAACGAAGAACCGAACACGAUCAAGAAAUAAGCUUCCGCACUAUGUAUCGUUGUUUUGUUAAAUGACGAACUCAAACAUGUUAUCUUGUAUAGUUUUAAUUCUGUAAAUAAAGUUUAAUGAAA
Long non-coding RNA from Helianthus annuus (common sunflower), 232 nucleotides. RefSeq lists it as uncharacterized. Lineage: Eukaryota; Viridiplantae; Streptophyta; Magnoliopsida; Asterales; Asteraceae. The transcript is spliced from 2 exons. The record is from RefSeq and is a predicted model, not a curated record.